This 72-nucleotide transfer RNA is filed under the name Ictidomys tridecemlineatus (thirteen-lined ground squirrel). RNAcentral's name for it is "Spermophilus tridecemlineatus (thirteen-lined ground squirrel) tRNA". It matches the Rfam family "tRNA". From Rfam's summary of the family: Transfer RNA (tRNA) molecules are approximately 80 nucleotides in length. The record is from Rfam by way of RNAcentral. Lineage: Eukaryota; Metazoa; Chordata; Mammalia; Rodentia; Sciuridae.
UGGGAUGUAGCUCAGUAGUAGAGUGCUUGCCUGGCAUGCUUGAGGUCCUGGGUUUAAUCCACAGUACUGCAA